UACGUAGGGUGCGAGCGUUAAUCGGAAUUACUGGGCGUAAAGCGUGUGCAGGCGGUCUGUUAAGACAGGUGUGAAAUCCCCGGGCUUAACCUGGGAAUUGCGCUUGUUACUGGCAGACCAGAGUGCGUCAGAGGGAGGUGGAAUUCCACGUGUAGCAGUGAAAUGCGUAGAGAUCUGGAGGAACACCGAUGGCGAAGGCAGCCUUCUGGGCCAACACUGACGCUCAUGCACGAAAGCGUGGGGAGCAAACAGG
This 253-nucleotide ribosomal RNA is filed under the name uncultured bacterium. Its description in RNAcentral is "partial 16S ribosomal RNA". It matches the Rfam family "Bacterial small subunit ribosomal RNA", at positions 524 to 776 of the family's 1533-position model. The record is from RNAcentral.